This 482-nucleotide ribosomal RNA is filed under the name uncultured bacterium. RNAcentral's name for it is "partial 16S ribosomal RNA". It matches the Rfam family "Bacterial small subunit ribosomal RNA", at positions 29 to 523 of the family's 1533-position model. The record is from RNAcentral.
AAUGAACGUUGGCGGCAUGGAUUAGGCAUGCAAGUCGAGCGAGAAGUGUAGCAAUACACGGAAAGCGGCGGAAGGGAGAGUAAUACGUGGGAAUCUGCCCUUAGACCUGGGAUAGCAGCGGGAAACUGCUGGUAAUACCAGAUAAUGUCUAUGGACCAAAGGUGUGAUUCCGUCUAGGGAUGAGCCCACGUCCUAUUAGCUAGUUGGUAGGGUAAUGGCCUACCAAGGCGAUGAUGGGUAGCGGGUGUGAGAGCAUGACCCGCCUCAAUGGGACUGAGACACUGCCCAGACACCUACGGGUGGCUGCAGUCGAGAAUCUUCGGCAAUGGGCGCAAGCCUGACCGAGCGAUGCCGCGUGCGGGAUGAAGGCCUUCGGGUUGUAAACCGCUGUCGAGGGGGAGCAACUUCCAUAGAGUUAUCUUUAUGGAUUGAGUGAUCCCUGGAGGAAGGACGGGCUAAGUUCGUGCCAGCAGCCGCCGUAA